This is a long non-coding RNA of Rhinichthys klamathensis goyatoka, 119 nucleotides long. RefSeq lists it as uncharacterized. The transcript has 2 exons. The record is from RefSeq and is a predicted model, not a curated record. Lineage: Eukaryota; Metazoa; Chordata; Actinopteri; Cypriniformes; Leuciscidae.
CUCUUUAUUUUAUAUUGGCAACAUUGAAGACACCUGAUGUUAACAAGCAGAAUAACUGAAGGAGAAAACCGUAAUUGUAAAGCCCAACUAAAACAAACACUGAUCACCAUAACGGUGAC